GCCCGGUGGCGUGCGCCUGUAGUCCCAGCUACUCGGGAGGCUGAGGUGGGAGGAUCGCUUGAGUCCAGGAAUUCUGGGCUGUAGUGCGCUAUGCCGAUCCGGUGUCUGCCCUAAGUUCGGCAUCAAUAUGGUGACCUCCCGGGAGCCGGGAGCCACCAGGUUGCCUAAGGAGGGGUGAACCAGCCCAGGUCGGAAAUGGAGCAGGUCAAAAAACAUAUAGCUAAUGUGUUAGUUUCUAAAUUUUCCACUUCUUUUAGAGGUAAAAAUGGUAUUGGCUUUU
Molecule: signal recognition particle RNA, 280 nt
Filed under: Sciurus vulgaris (Eurasian red squirrel)
Lineage: Eukaryota; Metazoa; Chordata; Mammalia; Rodentia; Sciuridae
Description: Metazoan signal recognition particle RNA (ENSSVLG00005018267.1)
Rfam family: Metazoan signal recognition particle RNA
About the family: The signal recognition particle (SRP) is a universally conserved ribonucleoprotein. It is involved in the co-translational targeting of proteins to membranes.
Source: Rfam by way of RNAcentral